Molecule: ribosomal RNA, 445 nt
Filed under: uncultured bacterium
Lineage: Bacteria
Description: bacterial SSU rRNA
Rfam family: Bacterial small subunit ribosomal RNA
Source: RNAcentral
GAUGAACGCUAGCGGCAGGCCUAACACAUGCAAGUCGAGGGAGAAGCCCUUCGGGGCAGAAACCGGCGCACGGGUGCGUAACGCGUAUGCAACCUACCUUUCACAGGGGGAUAGCCCGAAGAAAUUUGGAUUAAUACCCCAUAAUAUUAUUGGAUGGCAUCAUUUGAUAAUUAAAACUGAGGUGGUGAAAGAUGGGCAUGCGUCCUAUUAGCUAGUUGGAGUGGUAACGGCACCCCAAGGCUACGAUAGGUAGGGGUCCUGAGAGGGAGAUCCCCCACACUGGUACUGAGACAGGGACCAGACUCCUACGGGAGGCAGCAGUGAGGAAUAUUGGUCAAUGGUCGGAAGACUGAACCAGCCAUGCCGCGUGCAGGAAGAAUGCCUUAUGGGUUGUAAACUGCUUUUAUAUGGGAAGAAUAAGGAGUACGUGUACUUNGANGACGGU